CCUACGGGUGGCAGCAGUGGGGAAUAUUGCACAAUGGGGGAAACCCUGAUGCAGCGACGCCGCGUGAGUGAAGAAGUAAUUCGUUAUGUAAAGCUCUAUCAGCAGGGAAGAAAAUGACGGUACCUGAGUAAGAAGCACCGGCUAACUACGUGCCAGCAGCCGCGGUAAUAAGUAGGGGGCAAGCGUUAUCCGGAUUUACUGGGUGUAAAGGGAGCGUAGACGGCAGUGCAAGUCUGGAGUGAAAGGCGGGGGCUCAACCCCCGGACUGCUCUGGAAACUGUACGGCUGGAGUGCAGGAGAGGUAAGUGGAAUUCGUGGUGUAGCGGUGAAAUGCGUAGAUAUUAGGAGGAACACCAGUGGCGAAGGCGGCUUACUGGACUGUAACUGACGUUGAGGCUCGAAAGCGUGGGGAGCAAACAGGAUUAGAUACCCCGGUAGUC
Molecule: ribosomal RNA, 440 nt
Filed under: uncultured bacterium
Lineage: Bacteria
Description: partial 16S ribosomal RNA
Rfam family: Bacterial small subunit ribosomal RNA
Source: RNAcentral